This 253-nucleotide ribosomal RNA is filed under the name uncultured bacterium. RNAcentral describes it as "partial 16S ribosomal RNA". It matches the Rfam family "Bacterial small subunit ribosomal RNA", at positions 524 to 776 of the family's 1533-position model. The record is from RNAcentral.
UACGUAGGGGGCAAGCGUUGUCCGGAUUUAUUGGGCGUAAAGAGCGUGUAGGCGGCCAUGUAGGUCCGUUGUGAAAACUCGAGGCUCAACCUCGAGACGCCGACGGAAACCAUGUGGCUAGAGUCCGGAAGAGGAGAGUGGAAUUCCUGGUGUAGCGGUGAAAUGCGCAGAUAUCAGGAAGAACACCCGUGGCUAAGGCGGCUCUCUAGUACGGUACUGACGCUGAGACGCGAAAGCGUGGGGAGCAAACAGG